GUGUUACUUCGGUAUCACAUAUACUAAAAUUGGAACGAUACAGAGAAGAUUAGCAUGGCCCCUGCGCAAAGGAAG
Small nuclear RNA from Gadus morhua (Atlantic cod), 75 nucleotides. The record is from Ensembl. NCBI's taxonomy places the organism in Eukaryota, Metazoa, Chordata, Actinopteri, Gadiformes, Gadidae.